CCCUCCCUUGCUUUCCUGGACUGUCCCCUAGCCCGCCCUCAGGUCCCUUGUUGGUUCCAUUAGUACAUGUAAGGACCCUGCUGCCAACCUGAACUGGGACACCAGACACCCUUAUUGACACCAGGCAUCCUUCCUCUGCCUGCUGCAUUCAGUCUGGGAGGCUGUGCAGAGGUGUUCUGCAGACCAUGAACUGAACACUAGUCCCAGACAUUCAUGAGCACAGUGUGAGGCUCCUGACCACCACCCAGCAGCCCCUUCUUCUGGCACUAAAGACCCCCAGAGAAGAUGGGGAGGAAAAAGAUUCAGAUCCAGCGAAUCACUGAUGAGCGGAACCGCCAGGUGACAUUCACCAAGCGGAAGUUUGGGCUGAUGAAGAAGGCCUACGAGCUGAGUGUGCUAUGUGACUGCGAGAUUGCACUCAUCAUCUUCAACCACUCUAACAAGCUGUUUCAGUAUGCCAGCACCGACAUGGACAAAGUGCUGCUCAAGUACACGGAGUACAACGAACCGCAUGAGAGCCGCACCAAUGCUGACAUCAUUGAGACCCUGAGGAAGAAGGGUUUCAACGGCUGUGACAGCCCAGAGCCGGAUGGGGAGGACUCACUGGAGCAGAGCCCCCUGCUGGAGGACAAGUACCGGCGGGCCAGUGAGGAGUUGGAUGGGCUCUUCAGGCGCUAUGGGUCAUCUGUUCCGGCCCCCAACUUUGCCCUUCCCCUCACAGUGCCCGUGUCCAAUCAGAGCUCCAUGCAGUUCAGCAAUCCCAGUGGCUCUCUGGUCACUCCUUCCCUGGUGACAUCAUCCCUUACGGACCCACGGCUCCUGUCCCCCCAGCAGCCAGCACUACAGAGAAACAGUGUUUCUCCAGGCCUGCCCCAGCGACCUGCUAGUGCAGGAGCCAUGCUGGGUGGAGACCUCAACAGUGCUAAUGGAGCCUGCCCCAGUCCCGUUGGGAAUGGCUACGUCAGUGCCCGAGCUUCCCCUGGCCUCCUCCCUGUGGCUAAUGGCAACAGCCUAAACAAAGUCAUCCCUGCCAAGUCUCCGCCCCCACCCACCCACAACACCCAGCUUGGAGCCCCCAGCCGCAAGCCUGAUCUGAGGGUCAUCACUUCCCAGGGAGGCAAAGGGCUAAUGCAUCAUUUGAACAAUGCCCAGCGCCUUGGGGUCUCCCAGUCUACCCACUCGCUUACCACCCCGGUGGUUUCCGUGGCAACACCAAGUUUACUCAGCCAGGGCCUCCCCUUCUCCUCCAUGCCCACUGCCUACAACACAGAUUACCAGCUAUCCAGUGCAGAGCUAUCCUCCUUACCAGCCUUCAGCUCACCUGCAGGGCUGGCACUAGGCAAUGUCACCGCCUGGCAACAGCCCCAGCAGCCCCAGCAGCCACAACAACCACAGCCGCCACAGUCACAGCCACAGCCACAGCCGCCACAGCAGCCACCUCAGCAACAGCCCCACUUGGUCCCCGUAUCUCUCAGCAACCUCAUCCCAGGCAGCCCCUUGCCCCAUGUGGGUGCUGCUCUCACUGUCACCACCCACCCCCACAUCAGCAUCAAGUCAGAACCAGUGUCCCCAAGCCGCGAACGCAGCCCUGCACCUCCUCCACCAGCUGUGUUCCCAGCUGCCCGCCCUGAGCCUGGUGAAGGUCUCAGCAGCCCAGCUGGAGGAUCCUAUGAGACCGGGGACCGGGAUGAUGGACGGGGGGACUUUGGGCCCACACUAGGCCUGCUGCGCCCAGCCCCAGAGCCUGAGGCUGAUGGCUCAGCUGUGAAGAGGAUGCGGCUGGAUACUUGGGUACUGUAAUAUUGCCCUUCUGUCUGCCGGUGUCUGCAUCACCCAGGGACUGCCCCACACGCACUCAGCCUGCUUUCUUUCCCACCCGAGAGGCCUUGUGGCCAGGCAUUCCUUUUGGACAUUAAAGUGACGGUUCCCACUCCCUCCUCUCUGCCUCCCUGAUGAAGAGUUGACAAUCUCACCGCCCACCCCUCCCUGUCCUGGGCUCCUCCCGCUCGAUCCCCCACUUCCUUUUCUUCUGCUCCAUGUCCUGUUGAUGGUUACAUUUGUGUAUAAUUAUAUUAUUAUUAUUAUUAUUAUUAUUAUUAUUAUUAUUAUAUUUUUAAAUUCGAAUUCUCGCUUUAGAGAGAGGGAUGCUCUUGCCCCUUUCUUGGCCCCACCAUUUUCACUGGUGGGGGACUCUCUUUAUUGCGGGAAGGGGGGGACACUUUGCACGUUGUACACAUAUGCUGCAGGAAUGGGGGGCGGUAGGCCUUGGAAAAGGACAGGUGCCGAGCCCUGCAUGUGGAGCCCUCCCAUCCCAUUCCCAGACAGGUGUAAAGAACCAAAAACUAUACAACAACUGAAACCCGUACAGUCGACUGAAACCCCAAAGCUGGCUUGAUGAUGGGUUUGUGUCUCAGGGACAGGAAGAGGUAGAUCUCUGCUUCUGGGCUGUUCAUGGCUAAUAACCCAUCUUGGUCCCUCCAGCUUCCUGCGUACACACCACACUCACUGAUUCUGGGUACUGCACCACAAGAUCUGGGUGCUAUGCUUGGCAGGCUGCCUGGGAAUCUGAGGCCAGGGCAGGGGCUUGAAGUAGGAACCUCUCUGGAGGAAUCAUUGGAGGGAGACAGCUGUAAGAAAGAGGGCUAAUGAGGGCGUAAGGACUGGGUGUGAUGAAUUGGGACCCUAUCCCUGGCUUUUCCUUUAAAAUGUACAGUGCAAUAGAUCCCCAACCCUCAGCCUACCCCAACCCUAGAAAGCUGGUCAUGUACUGGAAGAGUUGGGAGAGGACCUUCAUCGAAGUGGCUCUAGGGUGGGUCAGAGUCAGCCUUUGGUUCCCUGGGGCACUGAGGGCAGGAGGCCUGUCAGGGGCAGGCAUGGGGCAAGCACCUCUCUGUUCUGCAUAUCGGUACCCAGAAGAGUGCACACUGGGCACACAGCAUGGUCUGUGGAGCUAGAGGUCCCUAUAGAUGAGGCCCCUCCCCCAUCCUCCUAGCUCCUGCCCCUGACCCACCUCCCAGCUCUUUGCGUGCUCCUUGUCUCGCUACCUCCUGUCCCUCCACCUCCAGGCCACACCCCAAACCUGCCCUCUUGCUACUGUAAUUGUAAAUAGCGACCUUCCAAAAUGUUAGUGGUUAACAGUCCAGGAAACUGUUGUGUUUGUUGUUGUUGUAUUGAUAUGAAAUGAGAUUCUAUUUUUGUCAAAGUAUAUUGUAAUAAUAAUGACUCAAAUGGCC
Molecule: non-coding RNA, 3233 nt
Organism: Cricetulus griseus (Chinese hamster)
Lineage: Eukaryota; Metazoa; Chordata; Mammalia; Rodentia; Cricetidae
Source: RefSeq, a predicted model, not a curated record